Molecule: long non-coding RNA, 1485 nt
Filed under: Capra hircus (goat)
Lineage: Eukaryota; Metazoa; Chordata; Mammalia; Artiodactyla; Bovidae
Description: lncRNA (ENSCHIG00000001455.1)
Source: RNAcentral
CCUGAGUGCAGAUGCCAGCACCUAAUAAGUGCUUAGGAAAGACGCACCUGGGACUGUUCUGCUUCCUCCCUAAGAAGUCAGCCUGUGAUGGGUGCAUCCAGGACAAUCCCUUUCUACCAAACUGCAGACUGCAGCCCAGGGAUCUUUCAAGACUUUGCCCCGGAACCAAAGCCAGACCCGGAUCCAGAACCAGUUCUGCGGGCUCCAAGUUCCAUGCUCCAUCCACCUGCAGCCAGUCUCCAGAGUCUGGGUGUGGGACCUCCUGUGCUGCGCUUUGUGGAAGUGUUUUCUGCCUGCCUGGACAGAGGGCCAGAGGGGGCGGCAUUUCCCUCCAGACCUGGGAGGUGUCCCUUUUGGUCAUUAUCAAGCCAUCUGUCAGCACCACUCUACCUGGCUCCGGAGCUUCUCCUUCCCAGAGGGCCCGUCUCUCUGUGAGCGGCCACACCAGGAUCGUCCUGGAGAGGCAGACUGUCACAGGGAAAGCAGCUAUGAGGAUCAGCCACUCCAGGAACUGGCGCGGACACCCCGGUUUUCCCAGACAGAGCAUCGAUGAGCGCGCCAAGGGCUGGGUCCCACAAAGCCUGCCUUCCCCGCAGGGACUCCCAAGGCCGCAGCGUAUCUCCCAUCUCCCAGUGAAGCAAUCUACAUAAUGAGCCGCAUUAAUAUCGAGGCUACCUGAGGCCACUUGUCUCAACCUGGAGCCCAGGUGCCUGUCGCAAUGAGCACAUAAAUGAUUAUUCAGCUCCCUUCCAAUCAGCUGAGCAAAGAUUAAUGGGGUCUCACUCUGGGAUGGCUGCCUAGCUCCCUACUCCCCUGGGGUGGACUCUGUCCCCAGAACAGGUUUUUCAGGAAAACUGACCCCUAUGCACCACAAGGGCACUCUUCUGACAUGGCAGCUGAAAUGCCAAAACAGCCCCAGGGAGUCUGGACCUUGCUCUGGCUCUGGAUAUUCUUUGAAAGGCUGUUUUGUUAAGCAACAUCCUUUGAGCCUUUUUGUAUGGGCAAGACACCCUCCAGGCUACUGCAAUGCUCUAAGGAAGACCCUCUGACCUCCACUCCAACUUCCUACCAUUUCAUAAAAGAAAACACAUCUAACUGAAAAGAUGAAAGUGGUGGGUGGGGAGUAGGGCUAGCCUCUACAAUGACUGAGCACAGAGGGAAAUAGCACCCCUAAAGGUAUCACUCCCCUCAUUUGAGAGGCUUCCCUAGAGGCUCAGAGGUAAAGAAUCCACCUGCCAGUGCAGGAGACUCAGGUUCGAUCCCUGGUCUGGGAAGAUCCCACAUGCCGCAGAGCAAACCGCUGAAGCCCUCCUGUGCCCUAGAGCCUGUGUUCUGCAACAAGGGGAGCCACUGCAGUGAGAAGCCCGCUCACCGCAACUAGAGAACAGACCCUGUUCGCGGCAACUAGAGAAAGCCCAUGUAGCAACAAAGACCCAGCACAGCCAAAAACAAACAAAUAAAAUUAUUUAAAAAAAAAAAAAACCA